AGCCAGCAGGCCCGGGGCUGGCCUGGCCCUGCCGCUUCCCUUGGCAGCACUCAAGACCAGGGGGAGGGGGGGUCCUGGGCCAAGUGGGGUCUGCCAGGCCAUUCCUGCAGCCCUACCCCACCCCACCCCACCUGACUGGGACCCCUGCCUCCCAUCUGAGAGGACAGCUCUCUUCCUGAAGCUGGAAUCUGUCGCUUGCUGGUACCAACAGCAGAUAUCAGAGACUCUGGGCCCUUUGUCGUUCUCUCUUUGUUAAAAAAAAAAAAAAAAAGGAGGUCCCUAAGUGGGUGGCAAUUUUUUGGACUCCAAAAAGCUGGCUGAGAUUGUCAGAUGUUUGGAGGCAGCAGGCUGAGAGCACAAAUUCUGGAGUCUGGCUUUCUGGGCUUGAAUUCUGGUUCUGCCACGACUGGCUGUGUGACCUUAGGAGGACAUGUGGCUGGAGCUCUGCAGCCAUCUUGCACCAUGAAGAUAAAGACCUCAUGGUGAUGAAAGAACAGUAGCUGGAAGGAGCCUAGGUUCCUGAGGACUGCUAUGGGGAAGCACAGCCAUCCUAACAUGACACUGCCUACAUCGGGACUUUCACAGAACUGUGGAAUAAUCUACCUUGCUUAAGCUACUAUUAUUUUGUACCUUGGCUACUCAUGGACAAACUAAACCCUAUCUGAUAUGCACAUUAUUACUGCUUCCGUGUGGUAUUUUACUGGAGGCCCUAACAAUGCAAUAAAACAGGAAAGUAAAAACAGAUAUAAUAAGAGAAUUUAGCAAGAUUACUGGAUACAUUUUUAAUAUAUUAAAAGCAUUUUGGUUUUAAUAUUUUGAAAAUGUAACAUCAAAAAUGAGAAGACUCAGUUUUAAAAACUACUUACAAUAGCAAUAAUGAUUAUAAAUUAUCUAAGAAUGAAUCUAACAAAAGACUUUGGAUGAUUAAAAUUAUCUAACUUUAUCGAAAAACUUAAAAGCAGACCUAUAUAAAUGAAGAUUUAUAUUAAUGUGUCGUACUCACGGCAGAGGGAUUUAUUAUAUAGAGACGUCAAUUCUUCCCAAAUUAAUAAAUUCAAUGAAGUUUUAAUUAGAAGCCCAAUAGGACAAAGGCACUUAGCUCAGUACUUGGCAAAUUGCAAACACUCAAAAUAUGGUAGCUGCUUUUACUGAAGUCCAGUGGAGGAGAUCAAUAUGCCACUGGUCUCUAACCUUUGUUCUGUUCUAUUCAGCAUCAUCCUAAACUUUACGUAAAUGAACAAAGAGAAUAGGCAAGAUGGUUUUUAAAGAACAACUACACUAUGAGAAGGACACGCUGUACAAUAUAUAAAGUUACAGGUACACUGCCAAGGAUGGUAGAUACCAGCCACAUGUGACCACUGGCUUUGGAAAUGUGGCUGGUUCCCAUUAAGGUGUGUUGUCCGUAUAAAACACACAUCAUAUUUUGAGACUAUGUAUUAAAAAAGAACAAAAUAUAUCUCAUUAUUUUUUAUUGAUUAGAUGUUGAAAUUAUAUAUAUAUGAGCAA
Molecule: long non-coding RNA, 1506 nt
Organism: Ailuropoda melanoleuca (giant panda)
Lineage: Eukaryota; Metazoa; Chordata; Mammalia; Carnivora; Ursidae
Exons: 3
Source: RefSeq, a predicted model, not a curated record